UGAAAAUGAGAUUGCUGCAAUCCGUGAUGGCAAUGAGCAUGAUCAAAGCUUAGGGCGCACCAGUGCGGCCAAGGGACCUGUUAAUGAUCAUGCAAUUUCAACAAGAAAUGGAUGGAGCUCGUAAGCUUCCAAUGUCCAAUUAAUUGCAGUCCGGAAAGGGCAAUAUUUCACUUUAGUAAAAGGAAGAGGACAACAAGAUACACAUACAAGAGGUUGCAAAGUUGAAAAACUAACAUCACCUAUUGAUGAGCUUGAGGAAGCUAUAUUGGCUGCUAGAUAAAAA
This is a non-coding RNA of Nicotiana tabacum (common tobacco), 283 nucleotides long. The record is from RefSeq and is a predicted model, not a curated record. Lineage: Eukaryota; Viridiplantae; Streptophyta; Magnoliopsida; Solanales; Solanaceae.